AACGAACGCUGGCGGCGUGCCUAACACAUGCAAGUCGAACGCGAAAGGGAGCAAUCCCCGGUAGCGUGGCAGACGGGUGAGUAACACGUGGGUAACCUACCCGGAGGUGGGGGAUAACCCUUCGAAAGGAGGGCUAAUACCGCAUGACACCGUGGGGACCUCGGUCCUUGCGAUCAAAGCUGGCCUCUGUUUACAAGCUAGCGCCACCGGAUGGGCCCGCGCCCCAUUAGCUAGUUGGUGAGGUAACGGCUCACCAAGGCGACGAUGGGUAGCCGGCCUGAGAGGGCGAUCGGCCACACUGGAACUGCGACACGGUCCAGACUCCUACGGGAGGCAGCAGUGAGGAAUCUUGCGCAAUGGGCGAAAGCCUGACGCAGCGACGCCGCGUGGAGGAUGAAGGUCUUCGGAUUGUAAACUCCUGUCGAGUGGGACGAAUGCCGUGAGGGUGAACAAUCCUCGCGGUUGACGGUACCGCUGGAGGAAGCCCCGGCUAACUCCGUGCCAGCAGCCGCGGUAAUACGGAGGGGGCUAGCGUUGUUCGGAAUCAUUGGGCGUAAAGGGCGCGUAGGCGGCCGAUCAAGUCGGAGGUGAAAUCCCUCGGCUCAACUGAGGAAUUGCCUUCGAUACUGUUCGGCUUGAGUCCUGGAGAGGGUAGCGGAAUUCCCGGUGUAGCGGUGAAAUGCGUAGAGACCGGGAAGAACACCAGUGGCGAAGGCGGCUACCUGGACAGGUACUGACGCUGAAGCGCGAAAGCUAGGGGAGCAAACAGGAUUAGAUACCCUGGUAGUCCUAGCUGUAAACGAUGGGCACUUGGUGUUGCGGGUAUCGACCCCUGCAGUGCCGAAGCUAACGCAUUAAGUGCCCCGCCUGGGGAGUACGGUCGCAAGGCUG
RNAcentral lists this ribosomal RNA (891 nucleotides) under uncultured bacterium. RNAcentral's name for it is "bacterial SSU rRNA". It matches the Rfam family "Bacterial small subunit ribosomal RNA", at positions 28 to 896 of the family's 1533-position model. The record is from RNAcentral.